CAGUAGCCACGGUAAUACGGAGGGUGCAAGCGUUAAUCGGAAUUACUGGGCGUAAAGCGUGCGUAGGCGGUUCGUUAAGUCUGUUGUGAAAUCCCCGGGCUCAACCUGGGAACUGCAUUUGUGACUGGCAAGCUAGAGUGUGGCAGAGGGGGGUGGAAUUCCGCGUGUAGCAGUGAAAUGCGUAGAUAUGCGGAGGAACACCGAUGGCGAAGGCAGCCCCCUGGGCCAACACUGACGCUCAUGCACGAAAGCGUGGGGAGCAAACAGGAUUAGAUACCCCGGUAGUCCCUGUCUCUUAUAC
This 301-nucleotide ribosomal RNA is filed under the name uncultured bacterium. Its description in RNAcentral is "partial 16S ribosomal RNA". It matches the Rfam family "Bacterial small subunit ribosomal RNA", at positions 509 to 807 of the family's 1533-position model. The record is from RNAcentral.